This 486-nucleotide ribosomal RNA is filed under the name uncultured bacterium. RNAcentral's name for it is "bacterial SSU rRNA". It matches the Rfam family "Bacterial small subunit ribosomal RNA", at positions 35 to 507 of the family's 1533-position model. The record is from RNAcentral.
GCUGGCGGCAGGCCUAACACAUGCAAGUCGAGCGGUAACAGAAAGAAAGCUUGCUUUCUUUGCUGACGAGCGGCGGACGGGUGAGUAAUGCCUGGGAAUAUGCCUUAGUGUGGGGGAUAACUAUUGGAAACGAUAGCUAAUACCGCAUAACGUCUUCGGACCAAAGAGGGGGACCUUCGGGCCUCUCGCGCUAAGAUUAGCCCAGGUGGGAUUAGCUAGUUGGUGAGGUAAAGGCUCACCAAGGCAACGAUCCCUAGCUGGUCUGAGAGGAUGAUCAGCCACACUGGAACUGAGACACGGUCCAGACUCCUACGGGAGGCAGCAGUGGGGAAUAUUGCACAAUCGGGGGAAACCCUGAUGCAGCCAUGCCGCGCGUAUGAAGAAGGCCUUCGGGUUGUAAAGUACUUUCAGUCGUGAGGAAGGCAUUGUAGUUAAUAGCUGCAGUGCUUGACGUUAGCGACAGAAGAAGCACCGGCUAACUCCGUG